AGACUACGCAAACCUACUUUUCGGACCGUCUGGCCAUGGAAGGACGUGCAUAAAAGCAAGGUUUCAUAUGGGAACAAAAUGUAACCAACGCGAACAAUGGGACAAGCUGGCGUAGGGUGGCUAUUUGUUAAUGUUACCCACCUACAACGUUUUAACUUAUUGCUAAUCUUACAUUAAUGUCGUCGUGAACAGUUCAAAGGUCGCUGGCGGAUUUCUUAACCAUUCGGUCUUUCAAGCAAAUCAACAGCGGAUACAAUGAAGGUCUGAAGAAAUUUUUACGGCUGCACUUUAAGUUUUAAGUUAUCGGUAAAAAAGACUUGAAAACUCGAAAAAAAAACU
Long non-coding RNA from Glossina fuscipes, 339 nucleotides. RefSeq lists it as uncharacterized. The record is from RefSeq and is a predicted model, not a curated record. The transcript has 3 exons. NCBI's taxonomy places the organism in Eukaryota, Metazoa, Arthropoda, Insecta, Diptera, Glossinidae.